UCCUUCUUAGCUGAGUUGGUAGAGCGCAGAAGCUAACUGAUGACGAGGUCAGUCGUUCAAGUCGGCUAGAAGGAA
Molecule: non-coding RNA, 75 nt
Organism: Rhodocollybia butyracea
Lineage: Eukaryota; Fungi; Basidiomycota; Agaricomycetes; Agaricales; Omphalotaceae
Source: the annotation of a GenBank genome assembly